UUGGAAGAAACAAUCACCCAUAUCUUCUUAACAUAUAAAUUGGUUGGGCUUCGGCCCACAGCCGAGUUGGUUGGGGAGUGGUUGUCCAUGUGGGUGACCCGGGCUCGAUUCCAGCUCCCGUCUGCCACUUGGUUUCGCCUACCGGAUGGGGCUUAUGUAAUCUGAUUUACAUCUUUCGUGGGCUUUGCAGGCUGGUUCACGUGGGGUGUUUAAUUCAACUUGGC
RNAcentral lists this long non-coding RNA (224 nucleotides) under Capsicum annuum. Its description in RNAcentral is "long non-coding RNA (CANN_LNC014836)". The record is from RNAcentral. Lineage: Eukaryota; Viridiplantae; Streptophyta; Magnoliopsida; Solanales; Solanaceae.